Molecule: small RNA, 656 nt
Filed under: Histoplasma capsulatum var. duboisii H88
Lineage: Eukaryota; Fungi; Ascomycota; Eurotiomycetes; Onygenales; Ajellomycetaceae
Description: Histoplasma capsulatum H88 hypothetical RNA
Source: RNAcentral
UUGCUAACCUUCCCAUCUCGGUCCAUUCAUUAACCUCAUCAUUAAUAGGCGACCAGACAGUAGGUUGCACACCUGAGUAUCAGCAACAGAAUUCUCCCAUGAUCAGUUAUUUGAUGCUACAACGAUGGCUUCAGUUAUUGCAGCGCCUCCACUGGCAUAACUUGUAUCGUUAUCAUCAGCUCUUUGCGAUUCCGGAAUUAUCCCCCGACUAAGCUGUCAGGCAGUUGGUUUAACACGGCAGAUAACCUUCCAGGACUAAAAAGAUCUCGAAGAAAGUUUCAGAAUGCAACUGGCGCUGUGGAUCCUGUUCUAUUGUUGCUACAGCUCACGUUUCAUUUAUGCGAUCCAGGGCUGUGAAGAGCAUUCGAUUUUCUUUCCACCAUGGUGAUCGGGAAGUUCUAAAUUACCUGGAUGCUUUAUGAGCCACUUUGUUUCACACAUCAGGUUCGCGGGAUGGAUGCUCGUUCUAUCUGAAGCCAAGUGGCUAUUAUAUCUCCAAAGUUUUUUUCUCGCAGGCUACAAACCCUGCACAAAACAGCAAUUAUCCAAGACGGCUGCUUCAUCUGCUCCUAAAUAUAGGUUUGCCGAGCUAUUGCCGCGCAUCCCCCACACAGCAAGACGUCUUUUAUUUUCAAAAUUAACUACAGCUAAAUCGU